AAUUGAAGAGUUUGAUCAUGGCUCAGAUUGAACGCUGGCGGCAGGCCUAACACAUGCAAGUCGAACGGUAGCACAGAGAGCUUGCUCUCGGGUGACGAGUGGCGGACGGGUGAGUAAUGUCUGGGAAACUGCCCGAUGGAGGGGGAUAACUACUGGAAACGGUAGCUAAUACCGCAUAACGUCGCAAGACCAAAGAGGGGGACCUUCGGUCCUCUUGCCAUCGGAUGUGCCCAGAUGGGAUUAGCUUGUAGGUGAGGUAACGGCUCACCUAGGCGACGAUCCCUAGCUGGUCUGAGAGGAUGACCAGCCACACUGGAACUGAGACACGGUCCAGACUCCUACGGGAGGCAGCAGUGGGGAAUAUUGCACAAUGGGCGCAAGCCUGAUGCAGCCAUGCCGCGUGUAUGAAGAAGGCCUUCGGGUUGUAAAGUACUUUCAGCGGGGAGGAAGGGAGUGAGGUUAAUAACCUCAUUCAUUGACGUUACCCGCAGAAGAAGCACCGGCUAACUCCGUGCCAGCAGCCGCGGUAAUAUGGAGGGUGCAAGCGUUAAUCGGAAUUACUGGGCGUAAAGCGCACGCAGGCGGUCUGUCAAGUCGGAUGUGAAAUCCCCGGGCUCAACCUGGGAACUGCAUUCGAAACUGG
RNAcentral lists this ribosomal RNA (643 nucleotides) under Enterobacter cloacae. RNAcentral's name for it is "bacterial SSU rRNA". It matches the Rfam family "Bacterial small subunit ribosomal RNA", at positions 1 to 636 of the family's 1533-position model. The record is from RNAcentral. Lineage: Bacteria; Pseudomonadati; Pseudomonadota; Gammaproteobacteria; Enterobacterales; Enterobacteriaceae.